ACUGCUGUGCUAGCAAUCAGCGAGACUCCGUGGGCGUAGGACCCUCCGAGCCAGCUGGGUGCGGUGGCUCAGGACUGUAAUUCCAGCUACAUGAGAGGAUUGCCUGAGGCCAGGAGUUUGAGACCAGCCUGAACAACAUAAUAGACUGGGAGCUCCAUGAGGUCCGAGACAACCUGAAGACGCCCAGCUCAGCAGAGACUGGCUACGGCAAUCACUCAGUAACUAUUUGUUGAAUUGGACAUAAUAGAAGAGCUGAAGAAUUUUAAACAAGUCACCAUCAGUGCAGUGGAUUCCUCAAAGCAAACCUGGAAAUCUCGGCAUGAGUUGGAUUUAAGGCAGUACAUUUUCAGCUCCUGAAAAUUUGAACAGUUUCUCAAGAGAACAACUUGAAACAGAAAGGCAAGGAUGUAGAUGUGGUUGUAGAAGAUGAUGUCUGCGGCCACCAAACUGUCCACUGUGAAGACAAACCAUGCAUGUUUAGUAGGCAGUGGCUCCUCUUCCCUGUGGGGAGUCCCACUGCUUCCCUGGCCUGGGUGUUCUCUGCCGGUAGAUGUUAUUGACAAAAUAAGCAAAGUCCUCUGAUUCUGAGAAUUAGAGUUAAUGAUAGCUCUAGAUUGCCUCUGCCAUGCUAUUUAAAGUCCUGCUUUAUUGUCUGACAUGAGUUCGGCAUCUAUGAGGACUUGUCCAGUGCAAAGUACAAUCUCCACUGAAAGAUAUCACCAGCACAUCUUGUCACUGUGCUGUAGCAAGCUGGGCAGUACAAUGAUGUUGGCAGGAUCCUGUUUAGGUGGAGGAUGGCCACCUGGGCAUCAAGAAUCUUCUACCCUGAUUCCACAUUGACUCCCCAAAGUGGGCUUCAGACAGCUCUUUACUUACGUCUUCUGAUUAAAGCAGCAGACAGGGUCCCAGCUAGAGAAAAGUUCUGGGAGCAGGAGAGGUGUUGGUGGCUUUAAAACCAGGGGUGAAGAUUGAAUUAGGAGGUUAGGCAGGAGUAGGAUCAAAGACUUAGAAAAUGCUUGUUUCCUCCUAUUAUUCUUAUGAGAGCUGAUACGGGGCUUUCAGUUUUGGGGGAGAGCCUUGGAAGAGAAUGAGGGAAUUUAAUCAACUAGCGGGACCUUUCCAACUUACAUUUCCCAGUGUUUGUUGGAUGAUACGUUUGCCUAAUAAGUUAAAGCUUCCAAAAAUAGAAAGGAAAGCUUGGUGACACUAAGCUCUGGCAUGCUGUCAUCUUCUGGCUAGGGGUCUUGUGCUUCUGUUUUUCUAUUUCUGACCAAAGACAUAAAAUGUGUUGUGACCUCUCAGGUAAUGCUGUGGUAUCAUGUCCAAGCAGUAACUAACCAGAGUGGAGUUUUUACAGGUAAAAAAGUAUUGAAUAGCUCAGCAACAGGGAGGACUUAAUGAUAAAUUGCUUUUUCAGAAAAUGACAAGGGGACAGACACUUGCGGUUCUUCCAUUGAGAGCCUUAAGGAAGUUAAGCGAAGCCUCUGCUCACCCCUUCAAGUAACGAUGACCCAUCAGAUCGUGGUCAUAACCAGUAGCAUCUGAGGCACCCCUAAGCUCUCUGGGCCCCAGAUUCCUUGUUAAGUUAAAUGAGGUGACUUCCCAGUUUACCAUUCUAGGGGUUCCUGAGGAGUUAAAAAUGAAGGAGAAAAUGCAACAUGUACCAAGUGAGCAAGAGCUCAAGGCUUAUCUCUGGCACGAAAGUGACCGCUGUCCGUUAGAGAUGUGAUUGCCCUAGAUUUCCUUUAGGAAAUGCAAACAUUGAACUCUGGCCUUCAGGACCCAAGUCCCGGCUUGCAUCUAUUCUAUACACUUUCUGUUAUUUGUUAGGGCUCACAAGGAACAGUUAUUUAUCUUUUAUUUUCUAUUUUUUUUUUAGAGAUGGAGUCUCACUCUGUCUCCCAGGCUGGAGUGCAGUGGUGCCAUCUCAGCUCACUGCAACCUCCACCUCCCGGGUUCAAGCAAUUCUCCUGUCUCAGCCUCCUGAGUAGCUGGGACUACAGGCGUGUGCCAUCAUGCCCGGCUAAUUUUUAGUAUUUUUAGUAGAGGCAGGGUUUCACCAUAUUGGCCAGGCUGGUCUUGAACUCCUG
Molecule: long non-coding RNA, 2090 nt
Filed under: Homo sapiens (human)
Lineage: Eukaryota; Metazoa; Chordata; Mammalia; Primates; Hominidae
Description: non-protein coding LINC00649:9
Source: RNAcentral